AGGCUAAAUACUGGCACGAGUCCGAUAGCGAACAAGUACCGUGAGGGAAAGUUGAAAAGUACUCUGAAGAGAGAGUAAACAGUACGUGAAGCCGCAUGCAGGUAAACGGGUGGCGUCAAGCUGCGAGCCCGGAGGAUUCAGCUGAUUAGGAUGUAGUGUACGUGCGCCUGGUGCGUCGAGAGGCCGGAAUAAGAUGUGUGUGUCGGUCCACUCCUCUGCUGGGAGUGGGGCGCUGCCGGUGUGUGCAUGCUUGCAUGUGUGCGCCGGUUGUCGCUAUGCGUGCCGGAUGGGUGCCGGAGCAUGCCGCACUAGUCUGUUGGGCCGCCUAGUCAGUGCAUUUUCUCCGUGGUGAACACCACGACCGGUGGAACUGCCAGUCUGCUGUGAUCAAGUCGUGUCCUUCUGGUCUGCCCAUCCUUUCAACGGGGUGUGUGUGUGUGCUGGGUGGACACGAUCGCAGGUGGAGUCGGUGAACGGCGCAGUGGUGCCUCGGUACUGCCGCGUGUUAUCGUGCACUCUCCAUCCCCCUCAACGAUUAAUGGGGUCGACUGGGUGCUGUGACAACUUCUCCAUUAGUCGGCGGAUUGCAGUGGUGAAAGUGACUGUGCAGGGCACCGGAGUUGUCCACCUCAUUCAAAUAUGGUACCCGGCACGCACGUUACAGGUG
This 667-nucleotide ribosomal RNA is filed under the name Mosgovoyia pectinata. Its description in RNAcentral is "partial large subunit ribosomal RNA". The stretch from base 1 to 99 matches the Rfam family "Bacterial large subunit ribosomal RNA", at positions 463 to 563 of the family's 2925-position model. The record is from RNAcentral. Lineage: Eukaryota; Metazoa; Platyhelminthes; Cestoda; Cyclophyllidea; Anoplocephalidae.